UAACUCUGGUUCCCCUUCAAAAUGCGUAUAAAUCUUUCGCCUUUUACUAAAGAUUUCCGUGGGGGGGAACACUGAUGAGUCUUAACUCUAAUUUUUUGUGUACCCUGCUAAUAAGCGGGGUC
This is a small nuclear RNA of Leptopilina boulardi, 122 nucleotides long. RefSeq annotates it as U5 spliceosomal RNA. NCBI's taxonomy places the organism in Eukaryota, Metazoa, Arthropoda, Insecta, Hymenoptera, Figitidae. The transcript has a single exon. The record is from RefSeq and is a predicted model, not a curated record.